AAAAAGCUAGCGCAAUAGGCUUUACAAAGGAGGGUUUCUAAUUAAUUUCAUUCCACUGAGYGUAAAGAACACGAUCAGCUUCACAAAAGGCUGGAACCGCCUUACAUGAAACCAACAUCUGUUUUAUUCAUCAUAUUAAUAUAGGAUAAGGGAUAAGGUGCAGUUACUUUCUGCAUAAAACGAAGUCUUUGCUGAUGAAAAAAUAACGCUUUUGUUCUUUAGAAAAAUCUUAUGUGUUUAAUUUACUUUGGUUAAUAAUGAUGGAAAAUUUAAAAAAUAUAUAUAUUUUUUCAUCUUCAUAUAACAUAAGCGAACUGGAAAGCCUGGCUGCGGUAAUUUUACACCGAAAGAGAAUUGCUCAAAAGAAGAUGAUGGUAAGAAAAGCACUACAUAGAUAUAACCAAGCAUACUAAAAGAUUCUAUCAUAAUCAGUUACCUCUUUACAAGAGUCUAAAGAAUCUAGAAUCUAUAGGCUUUUGUGAUAAUUCUGAUGUUCAAAUAUUUUGAUGUCAGAAUUUUGUAUGCAGUUAAGAAAUAUUGAAAUAUUCAAGAUAUCUUAGCUUUGAUGGGUUGCUAUGGCUACUAGUGGAGACAAGAGGCGAGUUUGUUUAGCUAGUUAGACAUAGUUAUAUCGAUUCGGUAAUUAAUUUCGAUUUACGAGUAAGCUGUAGAAUGUAUUGAUAAUGUACCAAAGUGGAGUAGAAUGAUGUGAUGGUCAUCGAGGCUGUAGCAGACGUUAAUGGCUGUGGAAAGUUGGUAAGUACUGAAACACUUUUGUUAACACAUGCAUUUGGAAAUACGUUUUAUUUUUGAGGGAGAGAAGAUAACUCCAUUUCUUUCUUCUUUUUUUCUCUCCGUCGCACCCAUUCGUUCUUUUAUUCAUUUUUCAUUCAUUUAUUCAAUCGUUCGCUUUUUUAAUUCACCCAUCCACUUCUUAUUUCGCUUUGUUUUAGCAUUCGUUUCUUUGUCCACACAGGAAGCACAUCAGUGUAAAGAAGACAACAGUGAUGAACUACUAAACCAAAGAUGAUGACGUCGCGACAGUUGAAUUACGUCACUAAACUGUGCUUAGAAUAAUGCAGACAGACAGACAGAGCUAUAACUAAAUAAGUAUAUUCAAAUAGUUAGUUAGGUAGUCAGUCAACAGUCAAUUUAUAGAUGUAUAUAUUAUUGAAGUAUAUAAUUAUAGAUGUGAAUAUGAAUA
Molecule: long non-coding RNA, 1204 nt
Organism: Actinia tenebrosa (Australian red waratah sea anemone)
Lineage: Eukaryota; Metazoa; Cnidaria; Anthozoa; Actiniaria; Actiniidae
Source: RefSeq, a predicted model, not a curated record